RNAcentral lists this ribosomal RNA (492 nucleotides) under uncultured bacterium. RNAcentral's name for it is "partial 16S ribosomal RNA". It matches the Rfam family "Bacterial small subunit ribosomal RNA", at positions 28 to 507 of the family's 1533-position model. The record is from RNAcentral.
GAUGAACGCUAGCUACAGGCUUAACACAUGCAAGUCGAGGGGCAGCGGUAUCGAAAGCUUGCUUUCGGUAGCCGGCGACCGGCGCACGGGUGAGUAACGCGUAUCGAACCUGCCUCAUACUCGGGAAUAGCCUUGCGAAAGUAAGAUUAAUGCCCGGUGUUUUCAGAGUCCCGCAUGAGGCUUUGAACAAAGAUUUAUCGGUAUGAGAUGGCGAUGCGUCCCAUUAGCUUGUUGGCGGGGUAACGGCCCACCAAGGCAUCGAUGGGUAGGGGUUCUGAGAGGAAGGUCCCCCACAUUGGAACUGAGACACGGUCCAAACUCCUACGGGAGGCAGCAGUGAGGAAUAUUGGUAAAUGGGCGGAAGCCUGAACCAGCCAAGUAGCGUGCAGGAAGACGGCCCUCCGGGUUGUAAACUGCUUUUAGUUGGGAAUAAAACGGGGCUCGUGAGCCCCCUUGCAUGUACCAUCAGAAAAAGGACCGGCUAAUUCCGUG